GACGAACGCUGGCGGCGUGCUUAACACAUGCAAGUCGAACGGAAAGGCCCAGCUUGCUGGGUGCUCGAGUGGCGAACGGGUGAGUAACACGUGGGUGAUCUGCCCCUAACUUCGGGAUAAGCUUGGGAAACGGGGUCUAAUACCGGAUAGGACAAUCGUUUAGGGUCGGUGGUGGAAAGUUUUUUCGGUUAGGGAUGAGCCCGCGGCCUAUCAGCUGGUUGGUGGGGUAAUGGCCUACCAAGGCGUCGACGGGUAGCCGGCCUGAGAGGGUGGACGGCCACAUUGGGACUGAGAUACGGCCCAGACUCCUACGGGAGGCAGCAGUGGGGAAUAUUGCACAAUGGGCGCAAGCCUGAUGCAGCGACGCCGUGUGGGGGAUGACGGCCUUCGGGUUGUAAACCUCUUUCGACAGGGACGAAGCUUUGGUGACGGUACCUGUAUAAGAAGCACCGGCUAACUACGUG
This 464-nucleotide ribosomal RNA is filed under the name uncultured bacterium. RNAcentral describes it as "partial 16S ribosomal RNA". It matches the Rfam family "Bacterial small subunit ribosomal RNA", at positions 28 to 507 of the family's 1533-position model. The record is from RNAcentral.